GUCUACGGCCAUACCACCCUGAACGCGCCCAGUCUCAUCUGAUCUCAGAAAAUAUGAGCUCAGGGCUGGGGAUUUAGCUCAGUGGCAUAAACACCUGCCUUGCAAGCAGGCAGUCGUGAGUU
Molecule: ribosomal RNA, 122 nt
Organism: Cavia aperea (Brazilian guinea pig)
Lineage: Eukaryota; Metazoa; Chordata; Mammalia; Rodentia; Caviidae
Source: Ensembl